RNAcentral lists this ribosomal RNA (465 nucleotides) under uncultured soil bacterium. RNAcentral describes it as "bacterial SSU rRNA". It matches the Rfam family "Bacterial small subunit ribosomal RNA", at positions 26 to 497 of the family's 1533-position model. The record is from RNAcentral.
AGGACGAACGCUGGCGGCGUGCCUAAUACAUGCAAGUAGAACGCUGAAGGAGGAGCUUGCUCUUCUGGAUGAGUUGUGAACGGGUGAGUAACGCGUAGGUAACCUGCCUGGUAGCGGGGGAUAACUAUUGGAAACGAUAGCUAAUACCGCAUAAGAGUAGAUGUUGCAUGACAUUUGCUUAAAAGGUGCAAUUGCAUCACUACCAGAUGGACCUGCGUUGUAUUAGCUAGUUGGUGAGGUAACGGCUCACCAAGGCGACGAUACAUAGCCGACCUGAGAGGUGAUCGGCCACACUGGGACUGAGACACGCCAGACUCGAGGGAGCAGCAGGUAGGAAUCGUCGGCAAUGGACGGAAGUCUGACCGAGCAACGCCGCGUGAGUAGAAGUAAGGUUUUCGAAUACGUAAAGCUACUGACGUAGUAAAGAAGAAAGAACGAGGUGUAGAGAAGGUAGGAAAGUUCAAC